This is a long non-coding RNA of Ornithorhynchus anatinus (platypus), 511 nucleotides long. RefSeq lists it as uncharacterized. The transcript is spliced from 3 exons. The record is from RefSeq and is a predicted model, not a curated record. Lineage: Eukaryota; Metazoa; Chordata; Mammalia; Monotremata; Ornithorhynchidae.
GAAUGAUGAUUGAACCACACUAGCUAGUAACUUGCUUUUUCCUCUUUGUAUAGGGCCAUUAAUAUAACCACAAGUUUUCUCCCCCACAAAGAAAGCACUCCCAUGACUGGGAAUGUUGAUUAGCCCAACAUUCCCUUAUAGGUGGAUGGAAUCUGAGAAGUCAACAUUUGUUAAAUGUUGAUAACUGCUGAAUAUCUGGCACGUUAGGGGUGUCAAGACGAGUUGAUGGAGGAUUUUCAGUCAAUUUCAGCAACAUCUACGCCUUAUUCACUCCAGGGUGUGGACUGCCUUUCAAGUGAUGAGGAAAGGAUGGAACACGGAACUUUGACUCAAGUAGCAGUAUUGCCAUGGAGUAGCCUAAGGAUCUUGGUGAAUAUCCCAGUUUAACAGGCUCUGAGUAAAGGAAUCCUGCAGUUCUUACAAAAUGAAGAUUUGAACCUUCCUAAUAAAAGCUCACAUAUUCUAAGAAGCCUUCCAGAUUGAGUUCAUAUCUCUCUAGAUAUACUCAUCG